CCUGGUGGCGAUAGUAUAGCGGGAAACACCCGAUCCCAUCCCGAACUCGGCAGUUAAGCCGCUAUGCGCCGAUGGUAGUCUGGGAACGCCCAGGCAAGAGUAGGUACUGCCAGGG
Non-coding RNA from Desulfurella acetivorans A63, 115 nucleotides. NCBI's taxonomy places the organism in Bacteria, Pseudomonadati, Campylobacterota, Desulfurellia, Desulfurellales, Desulfurellaceae. The record is from Rfam.